CAGCAGCCGCGGUAAUACAGAGGGUGCGAGCGUUAAUCGGAUUUACUGGGCGUAAAGCGUGCGUAGGCGGCUUCUUAAGUCGGAUGUGAAAUCCCUGAGCUUAACUUAGGAAUUGCAUUCGAUACUGGGAAGCUAGAGUAUGGGAGAGGAUGGUAGAAUUCCAGGUGUAGCGGUGAAAUGCGUAGAGAUCUGGAGGAAUACCGAUGGCGAAGGCAGCCAUCUGGCCUAAUACUGACGCUGAGGUACGAAAGCAUGGGGAGCAAACAGGAUUAGAUACCCCCGUAGUCCCUGUCUCUAUACA
RNAcentral lists this ribosomal RNA (301 nucleotides) under uncultured bacterium. Its description in RNAcentral is "partial 16S ribosomal RNA". It matches the Rfam family "Bacterial small subunit ribosomal RNA", at positions 509 to 808 of the family's 1533-position model. The record is from RNAcentral.